ACGGUAGCACAGAGGAGCUUGCUCCUUGGGUGACGAGUGGCGGACGGGUGAGUAAUGUCUGGGAAACUGCCCGAUGGAGGGGGAUAACUACUGGAAACGGUAGCUAAUACCGCAUAACGUCGCAAGACCAAAGAGGGGGACCUUCGGGCCUCUUGCCAUCGGAUGUGCCCAGAUGGGAUUAGCUAGUAGGUGGGGUAACGGCUCACCUAGGCGACGAUCCCUAGCUGGUCUGAGAGGAUGACCAGCCACACUGGAACUGAGACACGGUCCAGACUCCUACGGGAGGCAGCAGUGGGGAAUAUUGCACAAUGGGCGCAAGCCUGAUGCAGCCAUGCCGCGUGUAUGAAGAAGGCCUUCGGGUUGUAAAGUACUUUCAGCGAGGAGGAAGGCGUUGUGGUUAAUAACCGCAACGAUUGACGUUACUCGCAGAAGAAGCACCGGCUAACUCCGUGCCAGCAGCCGCGGUAAUACAGAGGGUGCAAGCGUUAAUCGGAAUUACUGGGCGUAAAGCGCACGCAGGCGGUCUGUCAAGUCAGAUGUGAAAUCCCCGGGCUCAACCUGAGAACUGCAUCCGAAACUGGCAGGCUAGAGUCUUGUAGAGGGGGGUAGAAUUCCAGGUGUAGCGGUGAAAUGCGUAGAGAUCUGGAGGAAUACCUGUGGCGAGGGCGGCUCCUCUGGACAAAGACUGGCGCUCAUGUGCGAAAGCGUGGAGAGCAAACAGAUUAGAUACCCUGGUAGUCCAC
This 743-nucleotide ribosomal RNA is filed under the name uncultured bacterium. Its description in RNAcentral is "bacterial SSU rRNA". It matches the Rfam family "Bacterial small subunit ribosomal RNA", at positions 66 to 798 of the family's 1533-position model. The record is from RNAcentral.